UUCGGAUCGCAGGCUGCAACCCGCCUGCGUGAAGUUGGAAUCGCUAGUAAUCGCGAAUCAGAAUGUCGCGGUGAAUACGUUCCCGGGUCUUGUACACACCGCCCGUCACACCACGAGAGUUUACAACACCCGAAGUCAGUGGCCUAACCGCAAGGAGGGAGCUGCCUAAGGUGGGGUAGAUGAUUGGGUGAAGUCGUAACAAGGUAGC
RNAcentral lists this ribosomal RNA (208 nucleotides) under uncultured bacterium. RNAcentral describes it as "partial 16S ribosomal RNA". It matches the Rfam family "Bacterial small subunit ribosomal RNA", at positions 1292 to 1500 of the family's 1533-position model. The record is from RNAcentral.